Molecule: non-coding RNA, 24 nt
Filed under: Arabidopsis thaliana (thale cress)
Lineage: Eukaryota; Viridiplantae; Streptophyta; Magnoliopsida; Brassicales; Brassicaceae
Source: RNAcentral
ACCGUUAUCGUUAGCCUGAAGAAC